Molecule: ribosomal RNA, 2906 nt
Filed under: Escherichia coli
Lineage: Bacteria; Pseudomonadati; Pseudomonadota; Gammaproteobacteria; Enterobacterales; Enterobacteriaceae
Description: 23S ribosomal RNA
Rfam family: Bacterial large subunit ribosomal RNA
Source: RNAcentral
GGUUAAGCGACUAAGCGUACACGGUGGAUGCCCUGGCAGUCAGAGGCGAUGAAGGACGUGCUAAUCUGCGAUAAGCGUCGGUAAGGUGAUAUGAACCGUUAUAACCGGCGAUUUCCGAAUGGGGAAACCCAGUGUGAUUCGUCACACUAUCAUUAACUGAAUCCAUAGGUUAAUGAGGCGAACCGGGGGAACUGAAACAUCUAAGUACCCCGAGGAAAAGAAAUCAACCGAGAUUCCCCCAGUAGCGGCGAGCGAACGGGGAGCAGCCCAGAGCCUGAAUCAGUGUGUGUGUUAGUGGAAGCGUCUGGAAAGGCGCGCGAUACAGGGUGACAGCCCCGUACACAAAAAUGCACAUGCUGUGAGCUCGAUGAGUAGGGCGGGACACGUGGUAUCCUGUCUGAAUAUGGGGGGACCAUCCUCCAAGGCUAAAUACUCCUGACUGACCGAUAGUGAACCAGUACCGUGAGGGAAAGGCGAAAAGAACCCCGGCGAGGGGAGUGAAAAAGAACCUGAAACCGUGUACGUACAAGCAGUGGGAGCACAGAGCAAUCUGUGUGACUGCGUACCUUUUGUAUAAUGGGUCAGCGACUUAUAUUCUGUAGCAAGGUUAACCGAAUAGGGGAGCCGAAGGGAAACCGAGUCUUAACUGGGCGUUAAGUUGCAGGGUAUAGACCCGAAACCCGGUGAUCUAGCCAUGGGCAGGUUGAAGGUUGGGUAACACUAACUGGAGGACCGAACCGACUAAUGUUGAAAAAUUAGCGGAUGACUUGUGGCUGGGGGUGAAAGGCCAAUCAAACCGGGAGAUAGCUGGUUCUCCCCGAAAGCUAUUUAGGUAGCGCCUCGUGAAUUCAUCUCCGGGGGUAGAGCACUGUUUCGGCAAGGGGGUCAUCCCGACUUACCAACCCGAUGCAAACUGCGAAUACCGGAGAAUGUUAUCACGGGAGACACACGGCGGGUGCUAACGUCCGUCGUGAAGAGGGAAACAACCCAGACCGCCAGCUAAGGUCCCAAAGUCAUGGUUAAGUGGGAAACGAUGUGGGAAGGCCCAGACAGCCAGGAUGUUGGCUUAGAAGCAGCCAUCAUUUAAAGAAAGCGUAAUAGCUCACUGGUCGAGUCGGCCUGCGCGGAAGAUGUAACGGGGCUAAACCAUGCACCGAAGCUGCGGCAGCGACGCUGAUGCGUUGUUGGGUAGGGGAGCGUUCUGUAAGCCUGUGAAGGUGUACUGUGAGGUAUGCUGGAGGUAUCAGAAGUGCGAAUGCUGACAUAAGUAACGAUAAAGCGGGUGAAAAGCCCGCUCGCCGGAAGACCAAGGGUUCCUGUCCAACGUUAAUCGGGGCAGGGUGAGUCGACCCCUAAGGCGAGGCCGAAAGGCGUAGUCGAUGGGAAACAGGUUAAUAUUCCUGUACUUGGUGUUACUGCGAAGGGGGGACGGAGAAGGCUAUGUUGGCCGGGCGACGGUUGUCCCGGUUUAAGCGUGUAGGCUGGUUUUCCAGGCAAAUCCGGAAAAUCAAGGCUGAGGCGUGAUGACGAGGCACUACGGUGCUGAAGCAACAAAUGCCCUGCUUCCAGGAAAAGCCUCUAAGCAUCAGGUAACAUCAAAUCGUACCCCAAACCGACACAGGUGGUCAGGUAGAGAAUACCAAGGCGCUUGAGAGAACUCGGGUGAAGGAACUAGGCAAAAUGGUGCCGUAACUUCGGGAGAAGGCACGCUGAUAUGUAGGUGAAGUCCCUCGCGGAUGGAGCUGAAAUCAGUCGAAGAUACCAGCUGGCUGCAACUGUUUAUUAAAAACACAGCACUGUGCAAACACGAAAGUGGACGUAUACGGUGUGACGCCUGCCCGGUGCCGGAAGGUUAAUUGAUGGGGUUAGCGCAAGCGAAGCUCUUGAUCGAAGCCCCGGUAAACGGCGGCCGUAACUAUAACGGUCCUAAGGUAGCGAAAUUCCUUGUCGGGUAAGUUCCGACCUGCACGAAUGGCGUAAUGAUGGCCAGGCUGUCUCCACCCGAGACUCAGUGAAAUUGAACUCGCUGUGAAGAUGCAGUGUACCCGCGGCAAGACGGAAAGACCCCGUGAACCUUUACUAUAGCUUGACACUGAACAUUGAGCCUUGAUGUGUAGGAUAGGUGGGAGGCUUUGAAGUGUGGACGCCAGUCUGCAUGGAGCCGACCUUGAAAUACCACCCUUUAAUGUUUGAUGUUCUAACGUUGACCCGUGAUCCGGGUUGCGGACAGUGUCUGGUGGGUAGUUUGACUGGGGCGGUCUCCUCCUAAAGAGUAACGGAGGAGCACGAAGGUUGGCUAAUCCUGGUCGGACAUCAGGAGGUUAGUGCAAUGGCAUAAGCCAGCUUGACUGCGAGCGUGACGGCGCGAGCAGGUGCGAAAGCAGGUCAUAGUGAUCCGGUGGUUCUGAAUGGAAGGGCCAUCGCUCAACGGAUAAAAGGUACUCCGGGGAUAACAGGCUGAUACCGCCCAAGAGUUCAUAUCGACGGCGGUGUUUGGCACCUCGAUGUCGGCUCAUCACAUCCUGGGGCUGAAGUAGGUCCCAAGGGUAUGGCUGUUCGCCAUUUAAAGUGGUACGCGAGCUGGGUUUAGAACGUCGUGAGACAGUUCGGUCCCUAUCUGCCGUGGGCGCUGGAGAACUGAGGGGGGCUGCUCCUAGUACGAGAGGACCGGAGUGGACGCAUCACUGGUGUUCGGGUUGUCAUGCCAAUGGCACUGCCCGGUAGCUAAAUGCGGAAGAGAUAAGUGCUGAAAGCAUCUAAGCACGAAACUUGCCCCGAGAUGAGUUCUCCCUGACUCCUUGAGAGUCCUGAAGGAACGUUGAAGACGACGACGUUGAUAGGCCGGGUGUGUAAGCGCAGCGAUGCGUUGAGCUAACCGGUACUAAUGAACCGUGAGGCUUAACCUU